CAAUAGCGUAUAUUAAAGUUGUUGCAGUUAAAAAGCUCGUAGUUGGAUUUCUGGUUGAAGCGACCGGUCGGGCGUUGAUUCGUCUGCACUGGAGUCGGUUUUGGCCAUCCUCUAGGAAAGUGCGUCUGGUAUUAAGUGAUCGGGCGUAUGAUCCUGGUCUUUUACUGUGAAAAAAUUAGAGUGUUUAAAGCAGGCCUUCGCCUUGAAUACAUUAGCAUGGAAUAAUAAGAUAGGACUUUGGUCUAUUUUGUUGGUUUGCAGACCGAAGUAAUGAUUAAUAGGGAUAGUUGGGGGUAUUUAUAUUCCGAUGUCAGAGGUGAAAUUCUUAGAUUUUCGGAAGAUAAACUUAUGCGAAAGCAUUUACCAAGGAUGUUUUCAUUAA
RNAcentral lists this ribosomal RNA (382 nucleotides) under uncultured eukaryote. Its description in RNAcentral is "partial 18S ribosomal RNA". It matches the Rfam family "Eukaryotic small subunit ribosomal RNA", at positions 592 to 976 of the family's 1831-position model. The record is from RNAcentral.